RNAcentral lists this ribosomal RNA (1542 nucleotides) under Triticum aestivum (bread wheat). RNAcentral's name for it is "partial small subunit ribosomal RNA". Lineage: Eukaryota; Viridiplantae; Streptophyta; Magnoliopsida; Poales; Poaceae. The record is from RNAcentral.
AUGGUGCUUCCUAUUCGACCAGUUGAGGAUGGAUCGAUUAGUUCAUGGGUUGAAAGGGAGGGCGAAAGAACAGAAUACUCCAGGCCACAACUUCUGGAGGACAUCUGGUGUCAUAUACAUUCCCUACUACCAAUGCGAGAUGCUGCCCGAGCUGCUUGCGUGUCUCGUGCCUUUCUAAGUUUAUGGAGAUGCCAUCCAAAUCUUACAUUCAGUAUGGAAGCACUGGGCAUGAAUAUGAAUCCGUGUGGAGAGGAUGAAAUAGGAAAUUUCACCAAAAAAGUUGACCACAUCUUAAAAAACCGCUCACGCAUUGGUGUGAAGACACUCAGGAUUGUUUUCCGUUAUUCCAAUGCCAUGGUCAGCAAUGUUGAUAGGUGGCUUCAGACAGCUGUUACACCUGAGAUUGAAGAACUCACUGUUCAGCUUACACCUGGGAUUGAAGAACUCACUGUUCAGCUUACACCUGGGAUUGAAGAACUCACUGUUCAGCUAUCUUCAGCAUCGGGAACAUACUACAACUUCCCAUGGUCUCUUUUAGCUAAUGGGAAUGGAAACUCGAUGCAGCAUCUACGCCUUUCCCAUUGUGUUUUCUCUCCCAGCGUUGAACUUGGCUUAAAAAAGAUGACAAGGAUUGAUUUGUGUUAUGUCUGUAUCACAGAGGAGCAGCUGGGGUGCCUUCUUCACAAUUGCUUUGUUCUCCAAUGGAUGCGACUCUCACAAUGCAGUCCGCUAACUUGCCUUAAGAUUCCGUUCCAUCUGCAACAGCUCAGAUACCUGAAGGUGUUUGAAUGCAGGUCUCUACAGGUGAUAGGGAUAGAAGCUCCAAACCUCGUCAGUUUUAAUUUUCAUGAUUCCCACCAGGUACAGAUAUCAUUUGGAGUAGCAUUGCAAUUGAAGAAGCUCGGCAUGUCCCAUCCUGGUGCUGUAUGUUAUGCUCGUGCUGAUCUCCCAUUGAGCUUGCCAAAUGUUGAAGAUCUUUCCCUGAGUUCAUGUAGUGAGAUGGUCGAUACACCAAUGCUGCCUAGCAAAUUCUUACACCUCAAGUACUUGAGUGUCAGUCUUUGUACAGUGACAUUUUCGCCGGCCUAUGACUAUUGUUCUCUCAUAUCCUUCUUUGAUGCUGCUCCUUCCUUGGAUACUUUCUUCUUGAAUGUGUUGCAGAAAGACAUGAAGCAUGAGUCAAUCGUGGGAGACCAUUCAAAUUUGAGGCAGGUACCAGGACACCGCCAUGAUAACCUUAAGACAGUGAAGAUCAUCGGUUUCUCCUCGGCGAAGAGCUUGGUUGAGCUGACAUGCCAUAUCAUUGAGAAUGCGACGUCACUCGAAUGCCUUACAUUGGACACGACACGAGGGCAUCCUUGGGCCAGCUGCUCAUCCAACAGUACUGGCAAGUGCUUGCUGUUGCACUUGGACUUUUUGGCGGAAGCUCGUAAGGGGCUCUCGGCUAUCAGGACAUAUGUUGAGCCAAAGGUUCCCUCCAGAGUCAAGCUAAAUGCCGUGGAGCCUUGCCGCCGAUGCCAUGACCUCGAGCCGACGCCAUGA